Molecule: ribosomal RNA, 484 nt
Filed under: uncultured bacterium
Lineage: Bacteria
Description: partial 16S ribosomal RNA
Rfam family: Bacterial small subunit ribosomal RNA
Source: RNAcentral
AUUGAACGCUGGCGGCAGGCCUAACACAUGCAAGUCGAGCGGAUGAAGGGAGCUUGCUCCUGGAUUCAGCGGCGGACGGGUGAGUAAUGCCUAGGAAUCUGCCUGGUAGUGGGGGAUAACGUCCGGUAACGGGCGCUAAUACCGCAUACGUCCUGAGGGAGAAAGUGGGGGAUCUUCGGACCUCACGCUAUCAGAUGAGCCUAGGUCGGAUUAGCUAGUUGGUGGGGUAAAGGCCUACCAAGGCGACGAUCCGUAACUGGUCUGAGAGGAUGAUCAGUCACACUGGAACUGAGACACGGUCCAGACUCCUACGGGAGGCAGCAGUGGGGAAUAUUGGGCAAUGGGCGAAAGCCUGAUCCAGCCAUGCCGCGUGUGUGAAGAAGGUCUUCGGAUUGUAAAGCACUUUAAGUUGGGAGGAAGGGCAGUAAGUUAAUACCUUGCUGUUUUGACGUUACCAACAGAAUAAGCACCGGCUAACUUCGUG